Molecule: transfer RNA, 70 nt
Filed under: Bupleurum boissieuanum
Lineage: Eukaryota; Viridiplantae; Streptophyta; Magnoliopsida; Apiales; Apiaceae
Description: partial tRNA-Leu
Source: RNAcentral
UUCAUUGUUGCCGGUAAUGACAUGUAGAAUAGGACUCUAUCUUUAUUCUCGUCCGAUUAAUUAGUUAUAC